This 471-nucleotide ribosomal RNA is filed under the name uncultured bacterium. Its description in RNAcentral is "bacterial SSU rRNA". It matches the Rfam family "Bacterial small subunit ribosomal RNA", at positions 28 to 508 of the family's 1533-position model. The record is from RNAcentral.
GACGAACGCUGGCGGCGUGCCUAAUACAUGCAAGUCGAGCGGGCUUAUUCGAGUAGCUUGCUAUUUGGAUAAGUCAGCGGCGGACGGGUGAGUAACACGUGGGUAAUCUGCCUCGUAGUCUGGGAUAACAAGCCGAAAGGUUUGCUAAUACCGGAUGAGUUCAUGUUAUUGCAUAGUGACAUGAAGAAAGGGGAGACCCGCUAUGAGAUGAGCCCGCGUCCCAUUAGCUAGUUGGUGGGGUAAAGGCCUACCAAGGCGACGAUGGGUAGCCGGCCUGAGAGGGUGGACGGCCACACUGGGACUGAGACACGGCCCAGACUCCUACGGGGGCAGCAGUAGGGAAUCUUCGGCAAUGGGCGGAAGCCUGACCGAGCGACGCCGCGUGAGGGACGAAGGCCUUCGGGUGUAAACCUCUGUCUGGGGGACGAGGUAAGGACGGUACCCCGGAGGAAGCCCCGGCUAACUACGUAG